Molecule: ribosomal RNA, 490 nt
Filed under: uncultured bacterium
Lineage: Bacteria
Description: partial 16S ribosomal RNA
Rfam family: Bacterial small subunit ribosomal RNA
Source: RNAcentral
AUUGAACGCUGGCGGCAGGCCUAACACAUGCAAGUCGAACGGUAACAGGAAGCAGCUUGCUGCUUCGCUGACGAGUGGCGGACGGGUGAGUAAUGUCUGGGAAGCUGCCUGAUGGGGGGGGAUAACUACUGGAAACGGUAGCUAAUACCGCAUAAUGUCGCAAGACCAAAGAGGGGGACCUUCGGGCCUCUUGCCAUCGGAUGUGCCCAGAUGGGAUUAGCUUGUUGGUGGGGUAACGGCUCACCAAGGCGACGAUCCCUAGCUGGUCUGAGAGGAUGACCAGCCACACUGGAACUGAGACACGGUCCAGACUCCUACGGGAGGCAUCAGUGGGGAAUAUUGCACAAUGGGCGCAAGCCUGAUGCAGCCAUGCCGCGUGUAUGAAGAAGGCCUUCGGGUUGUAAAGUACUUUCAGCGGGGAGGAAGGGAGUAAAGUUAAUACCUUUGCUCAUUGACGUUACCCGCAGAAGAAGCACCGGCUAACUCCGUG